AUGCAGUCGAGCGGAGAAGGGAGCUUGCUCCUGGAUUCAGCGGCGGACGGGUGAGUAAUGCCUAGGAAUCUGCCUGGUAGUGGGGGAUAACGUCCGGAAACGGGCGCUAAUACCGCAUACGUCCUGAGGGAGAAAGUGGGGGAUCUUCGGACCUCACGCUAUCAGAUGAGCCUAGGUCGGAUUAGCUAGUUGGUGGGGUAAAGGCCUACCAAGGCGACGAUCCGUAACUGGUCUGAGAGGAUGAUCAGUCACACUGGAACUGAGACAGGGACCAGACUCCUACGGUAGGCAGCAGUGGGGAAUAUUGGACAAUGGGCGAAAGCCUGAUCCAGCCAUGCCACUUGUAUCAAGAAGGUCUUCGGAUUGUAAAGCACUUUACGUUGGGAGGAAGGGCAGUAAGUUAAUACCUUGCUGUUUUGACGUUACCAACAGAAUAAGCACCGGCUAACUUCGUGCCAGCAGCCGCGGUAAUAA
Molecule: ribosomal RNA, 474 nt
Filed under: Pseudomonas aeruginosa
Lineage: Bacteria; Pseudomonadati; Pseudomonadota; Gammaproteobacteria; Pseudomonadales; Pseudomonadaceae
Description: bacterial SSU rRNA
Rfam family: Bacterial small subunit ribosomal RNA
Source: RNAcentral